Molecule: long non-coding RNA, 3316 nt
Filed under: Erythranthe guttata (spotted monkey flower)
Lineage: Eukaryota; Viridiplantae; Streptophyta; Magnoliopsida; Lamiales; Phrymaceae
Description: long non-coding RNA (EGUT_LNC003377)
Source: RNAcentral
GAGCCAGAGAGAUGAAUUACAUCGGUUACUGAACAGGAGGUACGAGGUAGGAGGUGGUCAACAAGGCAAUGUACCUGAGAAUCCAAAUGAACUGCCCGCAAUUCGGGCACAUUUACAUGAACAUGAGUUACAUGAGUUACCGAUGAGGUUCAAUAAUAGAGAUGAACAAGGCAAUUAGUCUAAGAAUCUGAAUUAAAGCGAGUGAAUCACCUAAUUUGUAAUUUUUUGCUUCCACUAUGAUUGUGAUAUAUUGGUACUCUUUGUUGGAUCCUCCGUGACACUUUGUAAGCUGUAACCGAACUUUUAGUAUGAAGAUGUGAUACUAAGAAGGGUGUUCCAAAUCGUGAGGUAAAAACUCAAAUCUUGCUAUCUUAGAAAAUUCUACUCCCCCUUUCCACAAUCCUACUACAGUUCAUCCUCGUCAACAUAUUUGGAUUGUUCUACAUUUUGCUUUUGCUGUAGCAAGAUAGUCAUCGCCACUUUAAAUGUGUAUAACUUCACAAGUGCAAUAGCAGAUGUAUGCUACCUUUCAAUUUCUGAUAUGGGCUACAAAUCACUAGCUUUGAUUAAAAUAUCAUUACAAAGAAGGAAAAAAAAAUGAACUCUGUUAAAGGGACAUCAAGGAAACAUAAAAAAAGCUAGAGGUGUUAUUGUAAAUCAUAAAUCAGUUGCUACAUGUUUCAUUUUCUUUUCCUUGAUUUCUCUUCUUAGGACUUGCACCAGCAAGUUCUCUUCUGUUUCAUUUCAUGUUCGAACCUUUGUACUCUACUGUAAUUAUGACAUAUAAAUUGGAAUUCUGUGUUGGUUAUCUAUACACAUCUAAAAGUCGUCCCGGUUUAAAUUUUAGUUUAGGUCCUUCAGUAGUCAAACUUUUAGUAUGAGGGUAUACCUAAAGAGUGUGUCCAAAUGACCUAAAAUCAUGUCGUAGAACUCACAUUUGGCUGUCUUAUAAACUUCUAUUCACCGCUUCCACAGUCCCACUAGAAUUCCUCCUCGUUAAAGUGUUUACUAAGGGAUGCCAUUCACUAGAGAUCAUACAUAUUCUUUUAGGCAUUUCAACAAACAUGAAAUAGGCAUCAACACCAACAUUAACAAAAAAAAAAAACACAGAAUACCCCCUCAAACAAUAGUUUCUACAAUUGACCCCAAAAAAUAAACUGACACAUAAAUAGAACACAUUUUGUUAUAAGGAUUCCCAAUCAGGAUUAGGUCAGAUAUACUUGGUGUUGAACGAAUCCAAAGUGGUUGAUAUAAAUAGAAGAAAAAAAAACAUAUACAGCAAGUGGUAAUAUUAAAGCAAAAUGAGAGAGCGUUUACCUGAGUAAGAUUAACAGUCUCGAUCAUCCCCAUGGCCAGAGGCGUAGACGUGUCUGGCCGAGGUCUCUUUCACACUCUUCUUCUUCUUCUUCGCCCAGUCAAGUCAAUAUAAGAAAAUGAUCGAUAAAACCAAAUGUCCAGAUUCUAGUACUUUGUUCUCGUCCAACAGUAUCGGUUUAGAGAGCUUUUGGGGGCUGUUCUUGAUAGUGGGAAUUGCUGCAGCUUCAGCAUUGAUAAUCUACGCGAUCAAAUUCCUACGCGAAAAAUAGAGAUAGAGAGAGUGGCUGUGGAGGUGAUUGCGUGAAGUGAGCAGCAGAAUCAUCUAACGAACAUGAUUUUCGAUUUAGUCCGUCGACUUUUUCAGUGGCCUCUCCGUGUACUAAUGGCCCGACUUCUCGAGCCCAAAUGCGCAGAAUGUAGAUUUUCGAGCUAUGCAGCAAGAAAUCGAACUUGUCAAUCCGAAUCAAAACGAGCAAUUGUCAUCAACAACGGUGGACUUGGCGCAUGAAGUUCACUAAGUGUGGUAGCUUUAUCUUUCAUCUCAAUCAGAUAGGGGUAAGAUGACAUCUUGUAAUUUCAUUUCCAUUGUAGAAGAGUACUCUCAUCUAACAUUUCAAGAAGAAUAAAAGAAAAAAAGAUCUCGAUUAGUGUCUUGUUCCAAGAUAGUUCCUUAGGAGCUUUAAUGCCUGAAAUUUUGAUUUGCGAUAACACAUCAUUAGCAUUAAAACUAGCAUUGAUACAAUAUCGAAAAAAAUGUAAUUGUGUAGAAAUUCGGAGAAGGGCUGUUUAGGAAAAAUCACAAAGCUACAGAUUUCACCUUAAGUACGAGCUAAUAGAGGAAAAGAGAUGCAUGACUUGAGUAUGACAAUGGAAGAAUGCAGGCAAUUUCUAAGAGUUAAUAUUCUUGUAGGCAUUUCAACAAACAUGUACUAGGCAUCCACACAAUCCAUCAAUGCAAUCAUUAAAAAGAAUAUAAAUCAGUAAUUAUUAAUUACCAACAUCUCUGUCACGAGUGACGACAACUUGGAUUCUUCUUCUCAUAAAGUACUCCGAGGUUGUCAAUAUUAUCCGCUCUAGUUAGAUUUAAAUAUUUGCACUUGUAAUAAAUACAUUUUCAAUAUUCUGAGUAAGAGCACUUUGUUCACGUCUUCCCCUGCCUUGCCAAAUCAAUUACAUUUAUAACCAAUAAAUCUUUCAAAGUCAAAGUCAACCAUAGAAGUUGCUAAACAUGAUUAAUCACCCUAAUUGCCUCAUGUAAAUUUCAAAUUUCGAAGAGUUCGAGUUUUUUUUGUAAUAAGUCAAACCUCAAGAAUGAAUGAAUAAUUGUUUAUAAGGGUAAAUUACGGUCAUUCCCAUAGGGUAAUGCUAAAUUACGAAAAAAUCCCUCAUGUUUGGAUAUUUAUAAUCAAUUAAUCAUCCCCUCAAGUCCAUCCUUGCGGUGUCAAAUUUGGAAUCUUCCAUAAUCUAGAAGAUUACGUUGAAUUUGACACCGUAAGGGUGUACGCGUAGAAGAUUCAUAGUCGAUGGAUGGUUGUAAUUAUCCAAACAUAAGUGAGUUUGUCGUAAUUUAAUCUUAACUCGGGGGUGGCCGUAACAUAAAAAAAAAAUCAUUCUAAUCAAACCUUUUAACAAGCAUUUAUGAAAAUUUACAACAUCAACCAAUUUUGGAUAGCUCAUUGACUUUACAAAAGUAAACUCCCAUGAUUCUCCAAAGAAACUUCAAAAUACAAUAUAUUAGGACAGCUCAUUUUGGGUCCUACACCAUGUACUUAGUUCUGGAUGUAACAGUUCAAAUUCAAACAUCCAAAAACACAAUGCCCUGUGUAUGCAUUUUUUUUUGGUAAUCAAAUUAAAUCAUCAUCUAGAAAGAAAAAAAAAAGAAAUGGAGAAGAUCAAAACCUGCAGAUAUGUCAUUUUGCAUCUCUUCUGUUAUUUAUGUGCCGUGAUUUUCUCAACAAAAAUGGCAGCGGCACAGAACAUCUCUGUAAGAGUAGGAGUG